Molecule: ribosomal RNA, 460 nt
Filed under: uncultured bacterium
Lineage: Bacteria
Description: partial 16S ribosomal RNA
Rfam family: Bacterial small subunit ribosomal RNA
Source: RNAcentral
CCUACGGGUGGCAGCAGUGAGGAAUAUUGGUCAAUGGACGAGAGUCUGAACCAGCCAAGUCGCGUGAAGGAUGACUGCCCUAUGGGUUGUAAACUUCUUUUAUAUGGGAAUAAAACGUUCCACGUGUGGGAUUUUGUAUGUACCAUAUGAAUAAGGAUCGGCUAAAUCCGUGCCAGCAGCCGCGGUAAUACGUAAGAUCCGAGCGUUAUCCGGAUUUGUUGGGUUUAAAGGGAGCGUAGGUGGAUUGUUAAGUCAGUUGUGAAAGUUUGCGGCUCAAACGUGAAAGUGCAGUUGAAACUGGCAGUCUUGAGGACAGUAGAGGUGGGCGGAAUUCGUGGUGUAGCGGUGAAAUGCUUAGAUAUCACGAAGAACUCCGAUUGCGAAGGCAGUUCACUGGACUGCAACUGACACUGAGGCUCGAAAGUGUGGGUAUCAAACAGGAUUAGAUACCCCAGUAGUC